RNAcentral lists this transfer RNA (92 nucleotides) under Felis catus (domestic cat). It matches the Rfam family "tRNA". Rfam says of the family: Transfer RNA (tRNA) molecules are approximately 80 nucleotides in length. Their secondary structure includes four short double-helical elements and three loops (D, anti-codon, and T loops). Further hydrogen bonds mediate the characteristic L-shaped molecular structure. tRNAs have two regions of fundamental functional importance: the anti-codon, which is responsible for specific mRNA codon recognition, and the 3' end, to which the tRNAs corresponding amino acid is attached (by aminoacyl-tRNA synthetases). tRNAs cope with the degeneracy of the genetic code in two manners: having more than one tRNA (with a specific anti-codon) for a particular amino acid; and 'wobble' base-pairing, i.e. permitting non-standard base-pairing at the 3rd anti-codon position. The record is from Rfam by way of RNAcentral. Lineage: Eukaryota; Metazoa; Chordata; Mammalia; Carnivora; Felidae.
GCCUGAGUGGCUCAGUUGGGUAAGCAUCUGACUCUUGGUUUUGGCUCAGGUCAUUAUCUCGCAGUUUGUGGGUUCAAGCCCCAUCUGGGGCU